This 30-nucleotide non-coding RNA is filed under the name Mus musculus (house mouse). Lineage: Eukaryota; Metazoa; Chordata; Mammalia; Rodentia; Muridae. The record is from RNAcentral. RNAcentral also lists the same sequence under 1 other name.
UUAAGAUCCAAAUCAUAACAGUUGUCUAUU